Molecule: ribosomal RNA, 403 nt
Filed under: uncultured bacterium
Lineage: Bacteria
Description: partial 16S ribosomal RNA
Rfam family: Bacterial small subunit ribosomal RNA
Source: RNAcentral
GACGAACGCUGGCGGCGUGCCUAAUACAUGCAAGUCGAACGCAGUGGGGACGGGUGAGUAACACGUGGGUAACCUCCCAACAGAGGGGAUAACACUUGGAAACAGGUGCUAAACCGAUACUGAUGGAUGGACCCGCGGUGCAUUAGCUAGUUGGUGAGGUAACGGCGUACCAAGGCCACGCUGCAUAGCGGACCUGAGAGGGUGAUCGGCCACACUGGGACUCAGACACGUCCCAGACUCCUACGGGAGGCAGCAGUAGGGAAUCGUUCGCAAUGGACGAAAGUCUGACCGAGGAACGCCGCGUGAGUGAAGAAGGUUUUCGGAUCGUAAAACACUGUUUUUAGAGAAGCGGUAUCUAACCAGAAAGGCACGGCUAACUACGUGCCAGCCGCCGCGGUAAUUC